UACGUAGGGUGCAAGCGUUGUCCGGAAUUAUUGGGCGUAAAGCGCGCGUAGGCGGUUUGAUAAGCCGGGUGUGAAACCUCCAAGCUCAACUUGGAGCGGCCACUCGGAACUGUCAUGACUUGAGUCAGGUAGGGGAACACGGAAUUCCAGGUGUAGCGGUGAAAUGCUUAGAUAUCUGGAGGAACACCAGUGGCGAAGGCGGUGUUCUGGGCCUGUACUGACGCUGAUGCGCGAAAGCGUGGGGAGCGAACAGG
This 254-nucleotide ribosomal RNA is filed under the name uncultured bacterium. Its description in RNAcentral is "partial 16S ribosomal RNA". It matches the Rfam family "Bacterial small subunit ribosomal RNA", at positions 524 to 776 of the family's 1533-position model. The record is from RNAcentral.